This 251-nucleotide non-coding RNA is filed under the name Limosilactobacillus gastricus. RNAcentral's name for it is "Lactobacillus gastricus T-box sequence". It matches the Rfam family "T-box leader". From Rfam's summary of the family: Uncharged tRNA acts as the effector for transcription antitermination of genes in the T-box leader family. T-boxes are found upstream of many aminoacyl-tRNA synthetase genes and some amino acid biosynthetic genes usually in Gram-positive bacteria. The anticodon of a specific tRNA base pairs to a specifier sequence within the T-box motif, and the NCCA acceptor tail of the tRNA base pairs to a conserved bulge in the T-box antiterminator hairpin. The record is from RNAcentral. Lineage: Bacteria; Bacillati; Bacillota; Bacilli; Lactobacillales; Lactobacillaceae.
UAUCACAAAGAAAUUAGAUGAGUAAAUCUAAGCCAAUUUUCAAGAGAGCUAAUGGUGGGUGGAAAUUAGUAAAGAGGCUGGGUUGAAGAUGGUCUAACACAAUUUUCAUGACUGAGUAAUAAUAAGGUCAUGACGGGGACUCCCGUUACUGAGUUAGGGUAUGAAACGAUUGUUAAGUACCUGAAGAGUAGUUAUUCGUGAGGGUAACUAGAACUAAGGUGGUACCACGGAAAAGCACUUUCGUCCUUGAU